UCUAAAUAUUAUGUUAACUGUAAACAACACGUGCGGCUAGCAAACAAACAACACCUGCACUUGUUUACGACACACGUGCAAGGUACGGUAGUGGGGACAACCCUUAUAAGACGGCGAGCCGCACGAGUUGUACCAUUCUUGUGUCGAACUCCGUACAGAGAACAUCCAAUAAAAGUAAUCCGUGACAGUGAGCCAUUGUUUAACUGGCGCUAUGCGUCCUCCACAAAGGUCACUGUUACCUUGGGAUCAGAGUAUAAUAUUCGUACUCUAACAUCAGAAGUAGAGGAUCGUCCUGCUGCCCACCCAUUAUAUUGAAAAAGACGGCCUCAAAGGAUGAAACUAAGUUUCAAAUACUCGUAUUAUCCUGAUAAGAUAAUAAUCGUGGAUGGAGUCAGGUGUUUAAUUAAUUAAAACUAAGGCUAAACUUGGAAUUGGACCUGAAUAUAAAAAUUGGACCUGGACUUGAGCCGUGGCAUAUUCAUCACAAUGUCUAUGUACUGUCAGGAUCGAGGAUAAUGGUGCCUACCUGCAUUUGAAUACUGUUGUUACGGUGAGUCGUUUUCAUACUGGAACUUUAUUGUUAUUGACUUCAUUGCUGGGUGUAUUUUAAUUUUUAAUAAUGAGGAAAUUGAUUUCAAAUUAACUUGAAAGUACUAUUUCUCUUUAUUUUAAAACAAAAUUGACGAGACAUAUUCCCGCAAUACGUGUCAAUCAUAAUUCAAACCGCGUUUUCAAAUCGGUUUUCAUCAUCGUCAAAUCUUGGCAUUUUGGUCUAAAAAUGUUUUGAAUUGGUGCAGACACGCUAACGCUGCGUGGUUUAAGCUGUAUUUUCUCACUCCAAGCAAUAAAGAAAUGAACUUUCGUUAAAUUACAACGUGAUUUGUAAUCUACCGUCAUUAAUAAAAUAAUCUUUAUAAACCGAUUGAAAGAGUCAUGUGAAUGUGAUAAUACACCUAGUUAUUUUGUUUCAUGUGACCACUGCUACAUGACGACGAGUGAAUGACAAACGGCGAAGGCGUUACAGCAUGGCACAGUCUGAGAGUGGCAGCCGUGCCGCGUGUGUGCCGUGUGGUGGUGACUUCGUGGCAGCGUAUUAAUAAACGCAAGCUCAGAGCACGAGCUGCGUAUCAGUAUGGCCGUGAUAGCGCGACAGCGAAAUAUUGAAAAUCUAAAUAUUAUGUUAACUGUAAACAACACGUGCGGCUAGCAAACAAACAACACCUGCACUUGUUUACGACACACGUGCAAGGUACGGUAGUGGGGACAACCCUUAUAAGACGGCGAGCCGCACGAGUUGUACCAUUCUUGUGUCGAACUCCGUACAGAGAACAUCCAAUAAAAGUAAUCCGUGACAGUGA
This 1358-nucleotide long non-coding RNA is filed under the name Pectinophora gossypiella (pink bollworm). RNAcentral describes it as "uncharacterized LOC126373912". Lineage: Eukaryota; Metazoa; Arthropoda; Insecta; Lepidoptera; Gelechiidae. The record is from RNAcentral.